AGGACAUUUGUGAGCAAGAGAGCAAUCGAUGUUGUUGUCUGGUUAGCACGACUAGCAGAGGACCCUUUUGGAUGGUGGCCACGGCACUCACGUCACGAAAAACCAUCAUCUGAAAAUUAGUGAGUGAAUUCUGGGAGCCAGUCAG
Pimephales promelas (fathead minnow) is the source of this 145-nucleotide non-coding RNA. The record is from RefSeq and is a predicted model, not a curated record. Lineage: Eukaryota; Metazoa; Chordata; Actinopteri; Cypriniformes; Leuciscidae.